RNAcentral lists this microRNA (23 nucleotides) under Pristionchus pacificus. RNAcentral's name for it is "ppc-miR-8361-5p". Lineage: Eukaryota; Metazoa; Nematoda; Chromadorea; Rhabditida; Neodiplogasteridae. The record is from miRBase by way of RNAcentral.
UCGACAACGUCUGCCCUGUCCCU